Molecule: ribosomal RNA, 450 nt
Filed under: uncultured bacterium
Lineage: Bacteria
Description: partial 16S ribosomal RNA
Rfam family: Bacterial small subunit ribosomal RNA
Source: RNAcentral
GUGGGGAAUUUUGGACAAUGGGCGCAAGCCUGAUCCAGCAAUGCCGCGUGCAGGAAGAAGGCCUUCGGGUUGUAAACUGCUUUUGUACGGAACGAAACGGUCCUGGUUAAUACCUGGGGCUAAUGACGGUACCGUAAGAAUAAGCACCGGCUAACUACGUGCCAGCAGCCGCGGUAAUACGUAGGGUGCGAGCGUUAAUCGGAAUUACUGGGCGUAAAGCGUGCGCAGGCGGUGAUGUAAGACAGUUGUGAAAUCCCCGGGCUCAACCUGGGAACUGCAUCUGUGACUGCAUUGCUGGAGUGCGGCAGAGGGGGAUGGAAUUCCGCGUGUAGCAGUGAAAUGCGUAGAUAUGCGGAGGAACACCGAUGGCGAAGGCAAUCCCCUGGGCCUGCACUGACGCUCAUGCACGAAAGCGUGGGGAGCAAACAGGAUUAGAAACCCUAGUAGUCC